CAGUCGAGCGGUAGAGAGAAGCUUGCUUCUCUUGAGAGCGGCGGAGGGUGAGUAAUGCCUAGGAAUCUGCCUGGUAGUGGGGGAUAACGCUCGGAAACGGACGCUAAUACCGCAUACGUCCUACGGGAGAAAGCAGGGGACCUUCGGGCCUUGCGCUAUCAGAUGAGCCUAGGUCGGAUUAGCUAGUUGGUGAGGUAAUGGCUCACCAAGGCGACGAUCCGUAACUGGUCUGAGAGGAUGAUCAGUCACACUGGAACUGAGACACGGUCCAGACUCCUACGGGAGGCAGCAGUGGGGAAUAUUGGACAAUGGGCGAAAGCCUGAUCCAGCCAUGCCGCGUGUGUGAAGAAGGUCUUCGGAUUGUAAAGCACUUUAAGUUGGGAGGAAGGGCAGUAAAUUAAUACUUUGCUGUUUUGACGUUACCGACAGAAUAAGCACCGGCUAACUCUGUGCCAGCAGCCGCGGUAAUACAGAGGGUGCAAGCGUUAAUCGGAAUUACUGGGCGUAAAGCGCGCGUAGGUGGUUUGUUAAGUUGGAUGUGAAAUCCCCGGGCUCAACCUGGGAACUGCAUUCAAAACUGACAAGCUAGAGUAUGGUAGAGGGUGGUGGAAUUUCCUGUGUAGCGGUGAAAUGCGUAGAUAUAGGAAGGAACACCAGUGGCGAAGGCGACCACCUGGACUGAUACUGACACUGAGGUGCGAAAGCGUGGGGAGCAACAGGAUUAGAUACCCUGGUAGUCCACGCCGUAAACGAUGUCAACUAGCCGUUGGGAGCCUUGAGCUCUUAGUGGCGCAGCUAACGCAUUAAGUUGACCGCCUGGGGAGUACGGCCGCAAGGUUAAAACUCAAAUGAAUUGACGGGGGCCCGCACAAGCGGUGGAGCAUGUGGUUUAAUUCGAAGCAACGCGAAGAACCUUACCAGGCCUUGACAUCCAAUGAACUUUCCAGAGAUGGAUUGGUGCCUUCGGGAACAUUGAGACAGGUGCUGCAUGGCUGUCGUCAGCUCGUGUCGUGAGAUGUUGGGUUAAGUCCCGUAACGAGCGCAACCCUUGUCCUUAGUUACCAGCACGUAAUGGUGGGCACUCUAAGGAGACUGCCGGUGACAAACCGGAGGAAGGUGGGGAUGACGUCAAGUCAUCAUGGCCCUUACGGCCUGGGCUACACACGUGCUACAAUGGUCGGUACAGAGGGUUGCCAAGCCGCGAGGUGGAGCUAAUCCCAUAAAACCGAUCGUAGUCCGGAUCGCAGUCUGCAACUCGACUGCGUGAAGUCGGAAUCGCUAGUAAUCGCGAAUCAGAAUGUCGCGGUGAAUACGUUCCCGGGCCUUGUACACACCGCCCGUCACACCAUGGGAGUGGGUUGCACCAGAAGUAGCUAGUCUAACCUUCGGGAGGACGGU
RNAcentral lists this ribosomal RNA (1398 nucleotides) under Pseudomonas sp. Its description in RNAcentral is "bacterial SSU rRNA". It matches the Rfam family "Bacterial small subunit ribosomal RNA". The record is from RNAcentral. Lineage: Bacteria; Pseudomonadati; Pseudomonadota; Gammaproteobacteria; Pseudomonadales; Pseudomonadaceae.